UGGGAGUUACACACUCCACCGCAAAUGAAACAAAUGUUGGGGAGGCUAACAAAGUGGGGAAAAACGUAAAGUGAAUUUCAAAGGGCUCACAGUGGAGCACAAUCUGAGAUCCACAGAAAAGUGGAGAGGGAUAAGACAGGAAUUAGGUCAUCUCAUCCAGACCCCAGGAAAUAUGUUUAGAUCAAAGCCACUCUGUUAGAAUAAACAAAACAGGACUCACUGGGCCCUACCAAUAUUUUCAUCUCAGUACUAAAAGCUGCUAAUCUAACCAGCUCUAUUUGAUGAAAGGGGGUAAAAAUUACAACUGUAAAAAUGACUGAGUUAAAAAAGUCCUCUCAACUGUAAUGGGAUGAUAAAGAUUUAGACUUGAGCUAAAGAGUAACAAGAUCCAGGCCCAAAUCAACACAAACUUCCUGGAAUUUUAGCACUGAGUAAAUUAUCUAAUCCUAACCCAUUGUCCCCUUACUGCCACCCCCCACCCAUGCAACUGAGUAUACCAGAUGAUUUACAUAAAAAAAAAAAAUUGUUAAAUUUUAACUGCAGUCAGAACACUGCAGGAGGUUGGCUUUGGGGUUCACUUAUUCUACAUUCCUUAAGAAUCUGUCUGUUUUCUGUUUGCUCACAACCGUCACCUGCCCCCUCCACCCGCAAAGGCAGUUGUUGGGGUAGCUGCUGGCCUUACUGUGUGGAUUCUCAUUUAAGCCCCGUCUUAAAAUAUGGUCUCUUUCUCCACUGUCAAGGGAGAUUGACAGAGACUGGGAGAUGAUGUCACAGGAGCCUGGCUCUGGAUCCACACACUUCGGCAGUGGCUGAUAUUUUAGCAGCUAAGUCCAAGUCCUGUGUAAGGCUUUCUUUCACCACAGAGUCGAUGGCCUUAAACCAACUACCAGGGAACAUUCAAUAGAUAGAAACACCCAGAAAAGGGACAGGAAAUCCCAGAGAAGGAAAAUUCACCCAGGCUAAAUCCAGGGUUAUAGUUCCUUGCUGAGUCUGGUUUCCUCUUAACUGUUUAAACAUAUGAUUUGGCUUCUCCCGUGUUUCUGCGUCCAUCUGAUCUCAAGUUGAACAAAGACUCAUGGACUUCAUGUCAGCUUGGCUCUGGCCCUCUGGGAAGCCAGGACGACAAAGUGGGGAAUGUGAGGGGCCUUUGUAAACACCACCGGGAACAGGCCAUCUUCUGUGUGGGGCCCUUCGUGGCUGACCUCACAGAGGGCAAUUCCAGGAUCAGAGUUUUCCUUAUGUUUCAUGGAUGGCUUUGAAGACAUACAAGUUACAAAGUUGGAAGCUGCACAGAAGUCACUCUUUCUUUGUUAGACCCAGAGCAGGACCUCAUCCAGACUCUUUCUGAGCACAGCUAAACCCUGAUACAGGCCACUGGUACCCCGACACCGAGAAUCCAGGAGUCACAUGUUUUAAUCACAUCUGCAUUCAGUAUGAGACCCGGUCACCUGUCACCCUUAAUGAACUUGUAGGCAUGGCAGCCCCCACUCUCGAUGCAAGGGGUAGGAAGUGGGAUACCUUCCUACUUAACCUGUAAAUUCCUUCUGUAUCCUGAAUUAGGAACCGUUCCACGUGUCCCAAGCUACUUGUGAUUCACAACAAUCCAUUUGACAGAUGCCAAAACUGAGGUCUGGAGAGCAGAGGAGCAACACUUAGAAAUCAGGAAAUCUCUAGCUGUCACCAGCUUUGGGCGUAUGGGAGUCAUUGUCUGACUGUUGGUGCAGUGUUCCCAUCUGUGCUGAAGAGGUUAGACCUCCAACGAUUCCCAGCAGCUUCUUUUAGAUUCUGGCCACUUUCACAAUCUUCCGAUUAUUGGAGCAUCUCCUGCAUGCCACCACUUAUUUAAUAAUUUAACUGAAGUGAACUGUUUCUAAAGUUUAAGUUUAUUUAUUCUAGAAAUAAUGGAAAAAAAACACUAAAUUCAGUUCUCUCCAACAGUCUUCUUAUCAUGUGCAAGAGAAAUCCUUACAGUAUGUCUCACUUGGGUGACAUGCCCCAAAUCAAAACAGGAUGAACAUAUUGGGCUGUUUCACUCAGCUACAUCCUUUCUUCAUUCUCUUCUGACCAGCUGCCUCUUUCAUUACCCAUGUGUGAGGUCUGUGGGUCUUAAAGAGUUUUAUUGAAGCCCUCUCCCUACCUCCUUACCUGUCAACACACACCUUUGAACUGGCCUGGAGUUUUUCAGACUGGAUUGUGACUCAUUAAUGCAUUAUUAGGUCAGCAUAGUAGACCAUAGCCAGUAUUAUGCUUUAGUGUAAUAGGAUAGACUAAGCCAGAGUGUAUCACAGGUAGUAAAGGGCCUUCCCAUCAUGCACAGGUGACCUUCCCUGCCCUGUGACUUGGACCAAGAAACUUGCUCCACCCAGAAAAGUAAGGUAGAUGCAAUGUGCACCAGUUCCAAGGCUGGGUCUCCAGGUGCCUGUGCAUUUCUACCUGUGCCCUCUCGCCUCUACUGCCAAUGUGAGAAGCAUCUGACAGCUCAGGAAAAGAAUGACAGCUCCAUGGAGAAGAGCUGUCCUCAGCCAAGCCCAGCCUGGGUCUCCAGAGAUGAAAGAAGCCUUAGGGAAAUGGGCAAGUGAUCCAUUGUCUGUACUCCCAUCUGCCACGAAAAGCCCUCUGCUCUGAGUCCUUCAUGCCCAAGUGCAGGGCAAAUGGAAAUAGCACAGAGCCACAUGAAUGGCGAGUUCCUGCACUAAUUCCAGUACCUUCCUUCGUGGGCAAGGCAUGCUUUACACAUGUGCCAGUCAUUAUCUAUCCUACAAAGAUUUUCUUUCUGUUUUGUGAAUAAAUUGUUGUCUCUUUUCCAUAGUGGAAAUUAUCCACCCACCUAGAAGAGAGGGUUAAGCCCUUCUCU
Molecule: long non-coding RNA, 2854 nt
Organism: Chinchilla lanigera (long-tailed chinchilla)
Lineage: Eukaryota; Metazoa; Chordata; Mammalia; Rodentia; Chinchillidae
Exons: 3
Source: RefSeq, a predicted model, not a curated record